RNAcentral lists this transfer RNA (54 nucleotides) under Romanomermis culicivorax. RNAcentral describes it as "tRNA-Gln". The record is from RNAcentral. Lineage: Eukaryota; Metazoa; Nematoda; Enoplea; Mermithida; Mermithidae.
UUUUGAAAAGUGAAAUUUCACAAAUAACUUUGAAUUAUUUUUAUAUUUCAAAAA